This 94-nucleotide ribosomal RNA is filed under the name Scolecobasidium sp. KH00281. Its description in RNAcentral is "5.8S ribosomal RNA". It matches the Rfam family "5.8S ribosomal RNA", at positions 1 to 94 of the family's 154-position model. Rfam says of the family: 5.8S ribosomal RNA (5.8S rRNA) is a component of the large subunit of the eukaryotic ribosome. RNAcentral also lists the same sequence under 1 other name. Lineage: Eukaryota; Fungi; Ascomycota; Dothideomycetes; Venturiales; Sympoventuriaceae. The record is from RNAcentral.
AAACUUUCAACAACGGAUCUCUUGGCUCUGGCAACGAUGAAGAACGCAGCGAAACGCGAAAGGUAAUGCGAAUUGCAGAAUCAGUGAGUCAUCG